UUAUUUCAAGGUCAAAUAGAAGAACUGCACUCACAUUAACUCAGAAGCAAGAUGUGUUUUUUUCUGAAGUUCAGUCAUAUAUGAGUAUUUGACAUAAAAUUCAUAAAGAUGAAACUGGUGAGAUUUUCAAAACUACAUAAAUGCCUUUAAUCUGCAGCUUCAGAAAUAUAUAUUCAAGUUGCUGUCUCCAGGGUACCAGCUAUCCUUAUGCAUGCUCUCAUGGCAACGAGUCACUGUCUUUUCCCUGUGCAGCUACGUUCUACAACAUGUUUGCAGUAUGCUGAACUGAAACCAGCUCUCUUCUACAGACUUUUCUGUGCAACUAUGAGAUCUAGAAAUGCACUUCAUUUUUCAAUAAAAGCAAAGUACCACAGGAUCAGGG
RNAcentral lists this long non-coding RNA (382 nucleotides) under Phasianus colchicus (ring-necked pheasant). Its description in RNAcentral is "lncRNA (ENSPCLG00000004222.1)". The record is from RNAcentral. Lineage: Eukaryota; Metazoa; Chordata; Aves; Galliformes; Phasianidae.